CUGAGAGCCGAGGGGAGCGACGGGCGUGACGGGCACCGAGCGACGGGCCACGGGCACCGGGCAUCGCAACCGGGCACCGCGGCGGCACCGCCCCGUGCCGGAGCCCGGCGGUGGGUGUCUGUUAGAAGCUCUUGCCGGUUCGCAGCUGCAGCUCGUUAACUCUUUGUGUCCCCGGGUGCUCGUGCCAAGCGGGGGGCACCCAGGACCCCUCUGUUUGCGGCCCCGUUGCUGACAGCUUUGGCCGCGGCAGCCCGCUCAGGUAUUGUGAUGGGCGGCUCGUGGGCUCCCUCAGCUCAGCUGCUGAUUUAUUAUCCCCCCCCCCCCUUUUUUUUUUCCCCCUUCGAAAAAUAAAAGCCUCUCUUAUUCCCGAACACGAGAGCCAGAGCGAAACUAUGAGGAAGUGCCCUGUUUGCAGAACAUGCUGUGAAACGCACAAAGGAAACGAAGGGAAAACAGCAUUUUGCACGUUUUUCAGCCUCAUUUCAGCCGGGACUUGGAAGCACAGAGGGGAAAUCUUUCCCAGCAGGAUGUACAGAGCGGGAUGGGAGGCGGGAGGGGGCUGGGGGGGAGCAUCCCUCUGGAGUGGGGCCACCUGCGUGAUGGGACAGUGAUAUCCCCGGGGUGUGGGGUCCCUGAAGGGCUGGAGCAGCACAGGCAGGUUGGGUUGGAGGCCUUUUAACACCGACAGCAUUUCUUUCAAAAAAGACUACAAAAAAAAGCUAGAAAAAGCCCUGUGGAGUGCGCCUGGUAUCACAGAUCCCACUGACCCCCCCUGUGUAAACGGGCUUCCCCGGGGGAGUGCACUCCCAUCCCAUUGCAGCGCUCCCACGCAGCUCCCAGAUCUGAGGGUGUUUUUCAGAGCCCAGGGCCGAGGGGAGGAUGUGCUGCUCUCCUCCUGGCCUCGCGCUCUGCCCUUUCUCAGGAACCGGCCAGAUUGUUCCCAUUAGGAGAAGCCAAAGCUCCAAGUGUUUGACCGUGGCCAGGAGAAGAUUUGCUGAUGGUUCUCCGGAACAAUGUUGAACGAGGUGCUUGGCGUGGAGAGAUCCUUUUAUGGUCAAAUUAAGGAGAAAAGCUUUGUGGAUUUGCAUCUGAAGUUGAUUGAUAUGUGGCAUUAAUGCACACGCAGAUCAUUUUGUA
Coturnix japonica (Japanese quail) is the source of this 1137-nucleotide non-coding RNA. The record is from RefSeq and is a predicted model, not a curated record. NCBI's taxonomy places the organism in Eukaryota, Metazoa, Chordata, Aves, Galliformes, Phasianidae.